RNAcentral lists this RNase P RNA (351 nucleotides) under Velocimicrobium porci. RNAcentral's name for it is "RNase P RNA component class A". It matches the Rfam family "Bacterial RNase P class A". From Rfam's summary of the family: Ribonuclease P (RNase P) is a ubiquitous endoribonuclease, found in archaea, bacteria and eukarya as well as chloroplasts and mitochondria. Its best characterised activity is the generation of mature 5'-ends of tRNAs by cleaving the 5'-leader elements of precursor-tRNAs. The record is from RNAcentral. Lineage: Bacteria; Bacillati; Bacillota; Clostridia; Lachnospirales; Lachnospiraceae.
UAAGGAAUACAGAUGGUCGCGCCUAUUCGUACCGAAAGGUCUUAGGUGAGGAAAGUCCGGGCUUCGUAGGGCAGGAUGCCAGAUAACGUCUGGUGGAGGCGACUCUAAGGAAAGUGCAACAGAAAUAUACCGCAUAGUUUUACUAUGUAAGGGUGGAAUGGCGAGGUAAGAGCUCACCGCCUGGCUGGUAACAGGCAGGGCAUAUGUAAACCCCAUCCGAAGCAAGACCGAACAGAAAACGAUACGGCUGCCCGUCGUGUUUUCGGGUAGGUCGCUUGAGCCUAGUGGUGACAUUAGGACUAGAUAGAUGACCAUCUAAUACAGAACCCGGCUUAUAGUAUUCCUUACGAU